RNAcentral lists this ribosomal RNA (760 nucleotides) under uncultured bacterium. RNAcentral describes it as "bacterial SSU rRNA". It matches the Rfam family "Bacterial small subunit ribosomal RNA", at positions 1 to 808 of the family's 1533-position model. The record is from RNAcentral.
CCUUAGAGUUUGAUCCUGGCUCAGAGCGAACGCUGGCGGCAGGCUUAACACAUGCAAGUCGAGCGGGCGUAGCAAUACGUCAGCGGCAGACGGGUGAGUAACGCGUGGGAACGUACCUUUUGGUUCGGAACAACACAGGGAAACUUGUGCUAAUACCGGAUAAGCCCUUACGGGGAAAGAUUUAUCGCCGAAAGAUCGGCCCGUGUCUGAUUAGCUAGUUGGUGAGGUAACGGCUCACCAAGGCGACGAUCAGUAGCUGGUCUGAGAGGAUGAUCAGCCACAUUGGGACUGAGACACGGCCCAAACUCCUACGGGAGGCAGCAGUGGGGAAUAUUGGACAAUGGGGGCAACCCUGAUCCAGCCAUGCCGCGUGAGUGAUGAAGGCCCUAGGGUUGUAAAGCUCUUUUGUGCGGGAAGAUAAUGACGGUACCGCAAGAAUAAGCCCCGGCUAACUUCGUGCCAGCAGCCGCGGUAAUACGAAGGGGGCUAGCGUUGCUCGGAAUCACUGGGCGUAAAGGGUGCGUAGGCGGAUCUUUAAGUCAGAGGUGAAAGCCUGGAGCUCAACUCCAGAACUGCCUUUGAUACUGGGGAUCUUGAGUUCGGGAGAGGUGAGUGGAACUGCGAGUGUAGAGGUGAAAUUCGUAGAUAUUCGCAAGAACACCAGUGGCGAAGGCGGCUCACUGGCCCGAUACUGACGCUGAGGCACGAAAGCGUGGGGAGCAAACAGGAUUAGAUACCCUGGUAGUCCACGCCGUAAACG